GAAUCGCACCGGUUUGUAUCCGCGAACGGCCUGCCGUAAAGACAAUUCCUGCCGUCGCUGUGUAGGUAGGAGCGGUGGUGCUUUCGCUUCUCUUCAUCACUGUGGCUGUGUAGGUUUUUUUUUUCCCUCCCUCUCUCCUCUCUCCCCCCCCACCCAACCUCUUGCCCGUGCUGUGAAGAAGGAGCAGUAUCUUACUGCCAUCUAGCGUGUAAUAUCGCAUUUAACACGGCCGCGUUGCGCGUUUUCCCCAUAACGCGCACCGGGAGGAGUUGUUGAGAGCCAACUUGGAGCAAAGAAACCUUAAAGAGCGACUGCUGUUGUCUGCUCGGAAUUUUCUCAACAAGUAUUCUUGCCGAUAUCACUCGGAGAUAAGUAUAACUGUUUUAUUCCACUGUCAAUCAGAGGUGCUAAAGGAUUCACUUAAUUUGUGGCAAAUUAAAAAAUGCGACCUAUACAUUGAACACUAACACAUUCCCCAAACAUAAUUAAACGUCACCGAAAAUAUGCAGAAUUUGUCUUCCGUGACGUUUAAUUGGAUUGUUUUACUUCCCAUGUGCAGGCAAUGUCUUUAAAAUAAUCCACGAGUGAAAACCCUCCCCCACACCCUGACGAACUCGAUCAAUUAAAAAUAUAUGGGAAAGGUAUAUUACAUUAAAUAAAUACGCAAAUAAAUUGUGUUAAUACUCUAAUGUUUUAUGAUUGUCACAUGCACUUCAACGUACACUAAGUUAAGAAAUUUGUUAAAGGGAAACCAUUUUUCUAUUUUUUUUAGUUCAAUAAAUUAACACUACCCGCUUGUCGUCCGACCAUAUCAAAGCUGACAGGUAUUAAAGGAUGCAUGUUCUGCAAAGUGCCAUGUGGGUUAAACCAGAAUUAAUUAUUUCCCACAAGAUGUAUUACAUGUCGCUCUUAAGGAAAUAAGGAAGCACCAGUACACGAUUGCCAAAAAAGUCAAAUGAAUGGGCCUUUGAACUCGAGGCAGGCGCAGCAGUUUAUACAAUUGUGCUUAGGAAAUGGAGCUCAUGCUACAUCACUCUUACAAAUAAACAGCGCCAGUUGUUGGCUAAUGGGGCUAAAAACGCACUCCAAUUAUAGAAACGUAUGGGUACAAUGCACCAACAGUGGUGAUGCCACUGAUUGCCAAGACUGCUUGAACAUAAUGUUUGUUUGUUUUCUUUAUUUAGUAUUUAUUGUUGUAAUAUUCGUGCUAAGAGUUUCCUAAUGGCCUAGAAUGAACCACACACACACACACAUAUACGUCCAAUAAAUCUGGAUGCAUCUCUGUUACGCUUUUUGUUACUUCCUACUUUUUUUGUUGCAGACGUCAAUCGAAGUUUUGUGAUGCUAAAUCGUACGUUGUUGCAGAUUAAACAUGCUCGCAUAAAAUGCUUAAAACAAGACAGAAGUAUUGGCUGCCGAAGCAUAAAGUAACCCGUAAGGUCUUUGGAAGUCACAAAAGCUUUUUUUUGUGGUCAGAGACAAAGCCAGUAUGAAAGGGGCUCAUAGUCAGCCACCGGUGGCCUUCACUCAGCUUUUAGCAAACAGGCAGAGGCACUGGCUUUGCGGGGAGGGAUAUCAUAUUACCACCAGCUGCAAAUCACAAGGUGGGCAUUUGCCACAAACACACAUGGGUGGUCAACAAAUACAUCCCUGAUGCCGAGGCAGUUUUCUUCUCCCAUUAUCUCACAACAAUGUCGCGUAGGACAAUCUGUAAAUGCGUCCUGGUGUAUUGCUUGAUUGUAGAGGAGACUUUUACAACGCGGUGUGUGUUUUUUUAGAAAACAAGAUACAUCGUAUUCAACCAAAUUCUGUUUCACACCACUCAGGUCUCACACCAACUGCCAAUGGACAGCCUCCAUCAUCAUGAGUGGCAAGGGAAAGAGAUUGCUCCACAUGCUUCCACUCUGGCCAGAUGGUUUGAAGAGGAUGCGAGACCUACCAUUUACUCCACCACAAGCAGUCUGGCAAUAACAGAUGAAGAAACCUGGCCUCGGUCUCAAUAGCCUUGAUCUGGAGAUUGCUUCCGGACUCCCUCCCUGUGUUCACAGGGAGUAGAGAGAGAGGGGGAGGGUGGAGGUGGCGAAGAUACGAGCAGUAGGGGGCUGGGCUGAUGGAUCCCAAUGGCUCAAAGAAUGUCGGGACACAGGCCUGGGUCCAUGCUGCUAAUCCUGGGCCAGAAAAGGGACAAUUCCUGGGCGAGCAAAGCCAGCUUUCCAGUGUUUGCAUACACGAGGCAAAAAGAGGUGAAAAUCACAAGAACCAAUUGACAUGAACGUGAACAGCAGGAUCCGUGGAGCAGCGGGUUUCGGCCAGCCAUCGAACAAAGACGGUCACCGCAUCGCGCACUUUCAGAUGCCCAUCUGCGGCCGUCUGGAACGCUGUUCCUUCCGAUAUUAGGAAGUCACUGGAGCUAUGCACUUUUAAACUGUCUAGAUUGACAACUUUUUUUUCGAACUGCUUUAUUAUGUUUAGUUUGUUGUCUUUCUCCUGCACAUCUGAUUAGCACAGUUGGCUACGUUCAGUGCGGAAGAAGUUCAACAUAUAUACUUACAUUGGUUAGCACUGCUUGUCUUGUUUCCAUUGCCUGUCUCAUAUGUAUCGUCUCACUUGUACUGACUGUCACAUUUACAUUCCCCCCCCCCCCCCCCC
This is a long non-coding RNA of Lethenteron reissneri (Far Eastern brook lamprey), 2649 nucleotides long. RefSeq lists it as uncharacterized. The record is from RefSeq and is a predicted model, not a curated record. NCBI's taxonomy places the organism in Eukaryota, Metazoa, Chordata, Hyperoartia, Petromyzontiformes, Petromyzontidae.